GUGGCUCAGGGGUAAGAGCACUGAUUUCUAUUCCAGAGGACCUGGAUUCAAUUCCCAGC
RNAcentral lists this transfer RNA (59 nucleotides) under Mesocricetus auratus (golden hamster). It matches the Rfam family "tRNA", at positions 7 to 64 of the family's 71-position model. Rfam says of the family: Transfer RNA (tRNA) molecules are approximately 80 nucleotides in length. Their secondary structure includes four short double-helical elements and three loops (D, anti-codon, and T loops). Further hydrogen bonds mediate the characteristic L-shaped molecular structure. tRNAs have two regions of fundamental functional importance: the anti-codon, which is responsible for specific mRNA codon recognition, and the 3' end, to which the tRNAs corresponding amino acid is attached (by aminoacyl-tRNA synthetases). tRNAs cope with the degeneracy of the genetic code in two manners: having more than one tRNA (with a specific anti-codon) for a particular amino acid; and 'wobble' base-pairing, i.e. permitting non-standard base-pairing at the 3rd anti-codon position. The record is from Rfam by way of RNAcentral. Lineage: Eukaryota; Metazoa; Chordata; Mammalia; Rodentia; Cricetidae.